RNAcentral lists this ribosomal RNA (933 nucleotides) under uncultured bacterium. RNAcentral's name for it is "bacterial SSU rRNA". It matches the Rfam family "Bacterial small subunit ribosomal RNA", at positions 56 to 1026 of the family's 1533-position model. The record is from RNAcentral.
UGCAAGUCGUACGAGAGUUUUUAACUCUAGUGGCGGACGGGUGAGUAACACGUGAGAAUUUGCCUUUAGGAGGGGGAUAACAAUUGGAAACGAAUGCUAAUACCCCAUAUGCUUUCGAGUGAAAUGGAUUUAUAUUUAUCCGCCUAGAGAGAAGCUCGCGGCUGAUUAGCUUGUUGGUAAGGUAAGAGCUUACCAAGGCGACGAUCAGUAUCUGGUUUGAGAGGACGAUCAGACACACUGGAACUGAGACACGGUCCAGACUCCUACGGGAGGCAGCAGUGGGGAAUUUUCCGCAAUGGGCGAAAGCCUGACGGAGCAAUACCGCGUGAGGGAAGACUGCCUAUGGGUUGUAAACCUCCUUUUUCAGGGAGGAAUCAAUGACGUGUACCUGAAGAAUAAGCAUCGGCUAACUCCGUGCCAGCAGCCGCGGUAAGACGGAGGAUGCAAGUGUUAUCCGGAAUCACUGGGCGUAAAGCGUCUGUAGGUGGUUUAAUAAGUCAACUGUUAAAUCUCGAGGCUCAACUUCAAAAUCGCAGUCGAAACUAUUAGACUAGAGUAUAGUAGAGGUAAAGGGAAUUUCCAGUGGAGCGGUGAAAUGCGUAGAUAUUGGAAAGAACACCGAUGGCGAAAGCACUUUACUGGGCUAUUACUAACACUCAGAGACGAAAGCUAGGGUAGCAAAUGGGAUUAGAUACUCCAGUAGUCCUAGCCGUAAACAAUGGAUACUAGAUGUUGAACAGAUCGACCUGUGCAGUAUCAAAGCUAACGCGUUAAGUAUCCCGCCUGGGAAGUAUGCUCGCAAGAGUGCUCAAAGGAAUUGACGGGGGCCCGCACAAGCGGUGGAGCAUGUGGUUUAAUUCGAUGCAACGCGAAGAACCUUACCGGGUUUGACAUGAUACGAAUUUCUUUGAAAGAAGAAAGUGCCGUUUGGAA